GACGAACGCUGGCGGCGUGCUUAACACAUGCAAGUCGAACGAAGAGCGACGGAAGCUUGCUUCUAUCAAUCUUAGUGGCGAACGGGUGAGUAACGCGUAAUCAACCUGCCCUUCAGAGGGGGACAACAGUUGGAAACGACUGCUAAUACCGCAUACGAUCUAACCUCGGCAUCGAGGAUAGAUGAAAGGUGGCCCCUACAUGUAAGCUAUCACUGAAGGAGGGGAUUGCGUCUGAUUAGCUAGUUGGAGGGGUAACGGCCCACCAAGGCGAUGAUCAGUAGCCGGUCUGAGAGGAUGAACGGCCACAGUGGGACUGAGACACGGCCCAGACUCCUACGGGAGGCAGCAGUGGGGAAUCUUCCGCAAUGGACGAAAGUCUGACGGAGCAACGCCGCGUGAGUGAUGACGGCCUUCGGGUUGUAAAGCUCUGUUAAUCGGGACGAAAGGCCUUCUUGCGAAUAGUGAGAAGGAUUGACGGUACCGGAAUAGAAAGCCACGGCUAACUACGUG
This 510-nucleotide ribosomal RNA is filed under the name uncultured bacterium. Its description in RNAcentral is "partial 16S ribosomal RNA". It matches the Rfam family "Bacterial small subunit ribosomal RNA", at positions 28 to 507 of the family's 1533-position model. The record is from RNAcentral.